Ciona savignyi (Pacific transparent sea squirt) is the source of this 47-nucleotide non-coding RNA. NCBI's taxonomy places the organism in Eukaryota, Metazoa, Chordata, Ascidiacea, Phlebobranchia, Cionidae. The record is from Rfam.
CAAACGGCCCUUUUCAGGGCCACCUAAUUAUGGAAAGAGAACGUUAU